This 1470-nucleotide long non-coding RNA is filed under the name Betta splendens (Siamese fighting fish). RNAcentral's name for it is "lncRNA (ENSBSLG00000019032.1)". Lineage: Eukaryota; Metazoa; Chordata; Actinopteri; Anabantiformes; Osphronemidae. The record is from RNAcentral.
AUCUCAGGAUUUCAGAUAAGCUCUUGUUUUUUUCACAGGCUCCCUGGUAAUGUAGGAUGGGCUCGAAACCCAGGCUUUGAUGUGAGUAGAACUCCACCUAGUCUUUGGACAUAAAGAUAUGCAUAUAAAUUGUUCCUGUUUUGGUUUUCUAGCAAAUUAACCGGGAGCUGAAGAACCGGUUUGGUAUGACCAGCACCUCUGAGGCUCAUCUGAAAGAGAACGAGACCUCUAAGCCCAUCUCUGACUUCAAACAGAAGAAAGUAGUAGAAGCAGUGAAGGAGGAACUACAGAGACAAGGUCCCUCUGUGCCCCCACUGCCCCUUCUAAGGCAAAGAUCUCUUCUACGACCAUCAUCAUCAUCAGUUCCAUCCAAAUGUGGAGCACCACCUGCUCACCUUCCUCCUCCAGUCCCUCCACACACUGCUCCCCUAAUACAAGCUUAUGGAAUGAACACAGGAAAGUCGACACUGCUGAGUCAAGUCAGAGAAGGGACCCAGCUAAAGGUGGCGCAAGAAAACUUGCCAGUAUCCAACACCAGAAGUCGUCUAUCUAAUAAUUACGCAUAUCAAUCUGGUUGGUUUGUUAUAGUAAUAAUAGUGUUUUUCAUUUAUUUUUUAUUGUAUCUUUUACCUAUUUCUGCUGGAAAAUGAGGUGUCACUAUGGGUUUUUAUGUGUUAAAGGGGCUGGCUUUUAACCUCUGUAUAAUCAUAGCACAAUUAGUCAAUAUUUACUCAGCCAAAAGAUGGUUUCAAAGAAGUGAUGCAGGACAAAGUAAUAACAAUUUUAAUGCAGUCAGAUGAGAUUAUGAGUUGACUAGUGUGGAUGUCUAAUGUUUUUUCACCACUAUAGCACCUACAACAGCAAAAAAAGUGAUCGCCAAAUAAUGGUUAUUUUAGUUUAUAUAAGUAUAAGUAUUUUAGAGUUAUAUAAUAUAUAAUUAUAAUUAUUAUAAUUAUAUAAUGGUUAUAUUAUAUAACCAGCCAUGUGGCGUGCACGGUGGAGCAGUGGGUAGCACUGUCGCCUCACAGUAAGAAGGGCCUGAGUUUGAGAUGUCAUUUUACGCAUUAAAAAAAAAAAAACACCAACCCCGGAUUUACAGCCCUGUCUGCCAGUGAAAGUUGCCCAAUGCGUUUUAUGACCUUGUAGCGAAUUCAAUUUAAUAAUUUAACAUUAAUGCAGAAACAUUAAUAUUCCUCAAAAUAGGGGCACGAGGUUGGUUUUAAAGCUGAAACCUCGCUAGACAAACACCAGAUGUCAAUUUAGUGAGUUAAUACUUAUGAUUAAUAGUAAUCACAAUUUCUUUGAUAAAACCAAAUCAGUCUCUAAUGUCAUGAGUUCUUGUCAAAGUGUCAGUGGCAUUUGUUGUUGUCUGAAGAAGGACAAACACAAAACCAGAUUUUAACGUUUUAUUAUGCUAAUACUAUGGAAUAUAUGAAUAAAAGGAUAAUUGUUGCUUGUUGUUGUUGCUGU